UGCAAGUCGUAACGAUGAUCCCAGCUUGCUGGGGGAUUAGUGGCGAACGGGUGAGUAACACGUGAGUAACCUGCCCUUGACUCUGGGAUAAGCCUGGGAAACUGGGUCUAAUACCGGAUACGACCAUCUGGCGCAUGUCAUGGUGGUGGAAAGCUUUUGUGGUUUUGGAUGGACUCGCGGCCUAUCAGCUUGUUGGUGGGGUAAUGGCCUACCAAGGCGACGACGGGUAGCCGGCCUGAGAGGGUGACCGGCCACACUGGGACUGAGACACGGCCCAGACUCCUACGGGAGGCAGCAGUGGGGAAUAUUGCACAAUGGGCGCAAGCCUGAUGCAGCGACGCCGCGUGAGGGAUGACGGCCUUCGGGUUGUAAACCUCUUUCAGUAGGGAAGAAGCGUAAGUGACGGUACCUGCAGAAGAAGCGCCGGCUAACUACGUGCCAGCAGCCGCGGUAAUACGUAGGGCGCAAGCGUUAUCCGGAAUUAUUGGGCGUAAAGAGCUCGUAGGCGGUUUGUCGCGUCUGCUGUGAAAGACCGGGGCUCAACUCCGGUUCUGCAGUGGGUACGGGCAGACUAGAGUGCAGUAGGGGAGACUGGAAUUCCUGGUGUAGCGGUGAAAUGCGCAGAUAUCAGGAGGAACACCGAUGGCGAAGGCAGGUCUCUGGGCUGUAACUGACGCUGAGGAGCGAAAGCAUGGGGAGCGAACAGGAUUAGAUACCCUGGUAGUCCAUGCCGUAAACGUUGGGCACUAGGUGUGGGGGACAUUCCACGUUUUCCGCGCCGUAGCUAACGCAUUAAGUGCCCCGCCUGGGGGAGUACGGCCGCAAGGCUAAAACUCAGAGGAAUUUGACGGGGGGCCCGCACAAGCGGCGGAGCAUGCGGAUUAAUUCGAUGCAACGCGAAGAACCCUUUACCAAGGCUUGGACAUGAACCCGGAAAGACCUGGUAAACAGG
Molecule: ribosomal RNA, 952 nt
Filed under: Paenarthrobacter nitroguajacolicus
Lineage: Bacteria; Bacillati; Actinomycetota; Actinomycetes; Micrococcales; Micrococcaceae
Description: bacterial SSU rRNA
Rfam family: Bacterial small subunit ribosomal RNA
Source: RNAcentral